RNAcentral lists this ribosomal RNA (460 nucleotides) under uncultured bacterium. Its description in RNAcentral is "partial 16S ribosomal RNA". It matches the Rfam family "Bacterial small subunit ribosomal RNA", at positions 338 to 795 of the family's 1533-position model. The record is from RNAcentral.
CCUACGGGCGGCAGCAGUGAGGAAUAUUGGUCAAUGGACGAGAGUCUGAACCAGCCAAGUAGCGUGAAGGAUGACUGCCCUAUGGGUUGUAAACUUCUUUUAUAUGGGAAUAAAAUGUUCCACGUGUGGGAUUUUGUAUGUACCAUAUGAAUAAGUAUCGGCUAACUCCGUGCCAGCAGCCGCGGUAAUACGGAGGAUCCGAGCGUUAUCCGGAUUUAUUGGGUUUAAAGGGAGCGUAGGUGGAUUGUUAAGUCAGUUGUGAAAGUUUGCGGCUCAACCGUAAAAUUGCAGUUGAAACUGGCAGUCUUGAGUACAGUAGAGGUGGGCGGAAUUCGUGGUGUAGCGGUGAAAUGCUUAGAUAUCACGAGGAACUCCGAUUGCGAAGGCAGUUCACUGGACUGCAACUGACACUGAGGCUCGAAAGUGUGGGUAUCAAACAGGAUUAGAUACCCCAGUAGUC